This 877-nucleotide ribosomal RNA is filed under the name uncultured Actinomycetes bacterium. RNAcentral's name for it is "bacterial SSU rRNA". It matches the Rfam family "Bacterial small subunit ribosomal RNA", at positions 28 to 918 of the family's 1533-position model. Lineage: Bacteria; Bacillati; Actinomycetota; Actinomycetes. The record is from RNAcentral.
GACGAACGCUGGCGGCGUGCUUAACACAUGCAAGUCGAACGGAAAGGCCCCUUCGGGGGUACUCGAGUGGCGAACGGGUGAGUAACACGUGGGUAACCUGCCCCUUGCUCUGGGAUAACUCCGGGAAACCGGGGCUAAUACUGGAUAUUCAUUUCUCCGGGCAUCUGGAGUUGUGGAAAGUUUUUCGGCGAGGGAUGGGCCCGCGGCCUAUCAGCUUGUUGGUGGGGUGAUGGCCUACCAAGGCGGUGACGGGUAGCCGGCCUGAGAGGGCGACCGGCCACACUGGGACUGAGACACGGCCCAGACUCCUACGGGAGGCAGCAGUGGGGAGUAUUGCACAAUGGGCGAAAGCCUGAUGCAGCGACGCCGCGUGGGGGAUGACGGCCUUCGGGUUGUAAACCUCUUUCAGCAGGGACGAAGCGAAAGUGACGGUACCUGCAGAAGAAGCACCGGCCAACUACGUGCCAGCAACCGCGGUAAUACGUAGGGUGCGAGCGUUGUCCGGAAUUAUUGGGCGUAAAGAGCUCGUAGGCGGUUUGUCGCGUCGUCCGUGAAAACUUCAGGCUUAACCUGAAGCUUGCGGUCGAUACGGGCAGGCUAGAGUUCGGUAGGGGAGACUGGAAUUCCUGGUGUAGCGGUGAAAUGCGCAGAUAUCAGGAGGAACACCGGUGGCGAAGGCGGGUCUCUGGGCCGAUACUGACGCUGAGGAGCGAAAGCGUGGGGAGCGAACAGGAUUAGAUACCCUGGUAGUCCGCGCCGUAAACGGUGGGCGCUAGGUGUGGGGGUCUUUCCACGAUCUCCGUGCCGUAGCUAACGCAUUAAGCGCCCCGCCUGGGGAGUACGGCCGCAAGGCUAAAACUCAAAUGAAUUGACGGGG